CAAGUCGAACGAACUCUGGUAUUGAUUGGUGCUUGCAUCAUGAUUUACAUUUGAGUGAGUGGCGAACUGGUGAGUAACACGUGGGAAACCUGCCCAGAAGCGGGGGAUAACACCUGGAAACAGAUGCUAAUACCGCAUAACAACUUGGACCGCAUGGUCCGAGCUUGAAAGAUGGCUUCGGCUAUCACUUUUGGAUGGUCCCGCGGCGUAUUAGCUAGAUGGUGGGGUAACGGCUCACCAUGGCAAUGAUACGUAGCCGACCUGAGAGGGUAAUCGGCCACAUUGGGACUGAGACACGGCCCAAACUCCUACGGGAGGCAGCAGUAGGGAAUCUUCCACAAUGGACGAAAGUCUGAUGGAGCAACGCCGCGUGAGUGAAGAAGGGUUUCGGCUCGUAAAACUCUGUUGUUAAAGAAGAACAUAUCUGAGAGUAACUGUUCAGGUAUUGACGGUAUUUAACCAGAAAGCCACGGCUAACUACGUGCCAGCAGCCGCGGUAAUACGUAGGUGGCAAGCGUUGUCCGGAUUUAUUGGGCGUAAAGCGAGCGCAGGCGGUUUUUUAAGUCUGAUGUGAAAGCCUUCGGCUCAACCGAAGAAGUGCAUCGGAAACUGGGAAACUUGAGUGCAGAAGAGGACAGUGGAACUCCAUGUGUAGCGGUGAAAUGCGUAGAUAUAUGGAAGAACACCAGUGGCGAAGGCGGCUGUCUGGUCUGUAACUGACGCUGAGGCUCGAAAGUAUGGGUAGCAAACAGGAUUAGAUACCCUGGUAGUCCAUACCGUAAACGAUGAAUGCUAAGUGUUGGAGGGUUUCCGCCCUUCAGUGCUGCAGCUAACGCAUUAAGCAUUCCGCCUGGGGAGUACGGCCGCAAGGCUGAAACUCAAAGGAAUUGACGGGGGCCCGCACAAGCGGUGGAGCAUGUGGUUUAAUUCGAAGCUACGCGAAGAACCUUACCAGGUCUUGACAUACUAUGCAAAUCUAAGAGAUUAGACGUUCCCUUCGGGGACAUGGAUACAGGUGGUGCAUGGUUGUCGUCAGCUCGUGUCGUGAGAUGUUGGGUUAAGUCCCGCAACGAGCGCAACCCUUAUUAUCAGUUGCCAGCAUUAAGUUGGGCACUCUGGUGAGACUGCCGGUGACAAACCGGAGGAAGGUGGGGAUGACGUCAAAUCAUCAUGCCCCUUAUGACCUGGGCUACACACGUGCUACAAUGGAUGGUACAACGAGUUGCGAACUCGCGAGAGUAAGCUAAUCUCUUAAAGCCAUUCUCAGUUCGGAUUGUAGGCUGCAACUCGCCUACAUGAAGUCGGAAUCGCUAGUAAUCGCGGAUCAGCAUGCCGCGGUGAAUACGUUCCCGGGCCUUGUACACACCGCCCGUCACACCAUGAGAGUUUGUAACACCCAAAGUCGGUGGGGUAACC
Molecule: ribosomal RNA, 1416 nt
Filed under: Lactiplantibacillus plantarum
Lineage: Bacteria; Bacillati; Bacillota; Bacilli; Lactobacillales; Lactobacillaceae
Description: bacterial SSU rRNA
Rfam family: Bacterial small subunit ribosomal RNA
Source: RNAcentral